Molecule: small nuclear RNA, 20 nt
Filed under: Arabidopsis thaliana (thale cress)
Lineage: Eukaryota; Viridiplantae; Streptophyta; Magnoliopsida; Brassicales; Brassicaceae
Description: snRNA_10684
Source: RNAcentral
AUAUACAUCCUCAUAUUACG